Pseudophryne corroboree (corroboree frog) is the source of this 882-nucleotide long non-coding RNA. RefSeq lists it as uncharacterized. The transcript is spliced from 3 exons. NCBI's taxonomy places the organism in Eukaryota, Metazoa, Chordata, Amphibia, Anura, Myobatrachidae. The record is from RefSeq and is a predicted model, not a curated record.
GCCUCCCUUUGUGCCCUGGUAUGGAGGCAGAUCAGAUGCAUGGCUCCCCGAAGCAGGGUAGAGCUAAAGGCCAACCCUGAGGCUCAGACUGACGCCAACACGAGGCCGGCCUGAUUCAGAAAUAGUGACAGCUGCAGAUUGCUGUAACACAGUAAAGAGAUGCGGAGCAGUCCUGUAAUGCUGAGGUGCUGACUGGACCAGCAAUCAAUGAGGAAAAGGCAGAGCACAACGCCAACUCGAAAAGGAGGAAGACGGAGCCUCCCCCAUCACACGUCCUCAUCCUCCUCUGAACCCCCCUCCCACUCUCAACAACCCACCCCCCAUCAAUCACCAUCUUCCUCUUCCUCCCCCUCUCAAACCCCCUCCCCCCUAUCAACCCACCCCCAUCAAUCUUCUUCCACUUCCUCCUCCCCCUCUGAACCCCCCCCCCCCCCCACAACAUCCCGAACCGCAACAAGCUCCAACCUUCUCUUGCUCCUCCUCCCCCUCUCAAGCCCCCUCCCCAUCUCUAUCUUACCUCCCUUCUCAACCCCCUCACCUUCUCAAUCCGACCACCCCUCUCAAACACCCUCACCCAUCCAUCCUCCAUCCCCCUUUCAAACCCCUUCCACCAUUUAACCUCCUUCCCCCUUUCAAGACCCUUCCCCCACUCCAACUGACCAAACAGAGUGGGCAGCUGAGGCCUCUGAGGAAGCGGAGGGUGCUGCUCAUCCAUCGGGGGAGAAUGAUGCAGUUGGAGAUCCCAAUGCCUUGAUUGGGCAAAGCCUACAGCGCAUGGAAGCCCACUGUAGGGGAUUAUUAGCAGAAAUUAUUUUUCUGCAAAAAAUUUUUUUUUUUUUAAGUUAAUUGUUAUUGAAUACCAAAAAAAUCAGAAAAAAACAA